This is a non-coding RNA of Acanthosepion pharaonis, 87 nucleotides long. Lineage: Eukaryota; Metazoa; Mollusca; Cephalopoda; Sepiida; Sepiidae. The record is from the annotation of a GenBank genome assembly.
GGUUCCCGUACGAGUACCGAAGUUAAGCAACGUCGAGCCUGGUCCGUACCUAGAUUAGUGACCGCUUGGGAAUACCAGGUGUUGUAG